RNAcentral lists this ribosomal RNA (383 nucleotides) under uncultured Bacteroidota bacterium. Its description in RNAcentral is "bacterial SSU rRNA". It matches the Rfam family "Bacterial small subunit ribosomal RNA", at positions 65 to 450 of the family's 1533-position model. Lineage: Bacteria; Pseudomonadati; Bacteroidota. The record is from RNAcentral.
AGGGGUAUGGUUCUUCGGAACCAGAGACCGGCGCACGGGUGCGUAACGCGUAUGCAAUCUACCUUUUACAGAGGGAUAGCCCAGAGAAGUUUGGAUUAAUACCUCAUAGCAUAGCAGCUUCGCAUGAAGCCACUAUUAAAGUCACAACGGUAAAAGAUGAGCAUGCGUCCCAUUAGCUAGUUGGUAAGGUAACGGCUUACCAAGGCUACGAUGGGUAGGGGUCCUGAGAGGGAGAUCCCCCACACUGGUACUGAGACACGGACCAGACUCCUACGGGAGGCAGCAGUGAGGAAUAUUGGACAAUGGGCGCAAGCCUGAUCCAGCCAUGCCGCGUGCAGGAUGACGGUCCUAUGGAUUGUAAACUGCUUUUGUACAGGAAGAAA